This 492-nucleotide ribosomal RNA is filed under the name uncultured bacterium. RNAcentral's name for it is "partial 16S ribosomal RNA". It matches the Rfam family "Bacterial small subunit ribosomal RNA", at positions 29 to 507 of the family's 1533-position model. The record is from RNAcentral.
AGUGGACGCUGGCGGUAGGCCUAACACAUGCAAGUCGAACGGCAGCACAGUAAGAGCUUGCUCUUACGGGUGGCGAGUGGCGGACGGGUGAGGAAUACAUCGGAAUCUACUUUUUCGUGGGGGAUAACGUAGGGAAACUUACGCUAAUACCGCAUACGACCUACGGGUGAAAGCAGGGGAUCUUCGGACCUUGCGCGAUUGAAUGAGCCGAUGUCGGAUUAGCUAGUUGGCGGGGUAAAGGCCCACCAAGGCGACGAUCCGUAGCUGGUCUGAGAGGAUGAACAGCCCCACUGGAAAUGAGACACGGUCCCGACUCCUACGGGAGGCAGCAGUGGGGAAUAUUGGACAAUGGGCGCAAGCCUGAUCCAGCCCUACCGCGUGGGUGAAGAAGGCCUUCGGGUUGUAAAGCCCUUUUGUUGGGAAAGAAAAGCAGCAGGUUAAUACCCCGCUGUUCUGACGGUACCCAAAGAAUAAGCACCGGCUAACUUCGUG